AGACGUCUACAUUAGAUACCCCGGUAGUCCCAGCCGUAAACUAUGCGCGUUAGGUGUAUCGGUGACCACGAGUUACCGAGGUGCCGAAGGGAAACCGUGAAACGUGCCGCCUGGGAAGUACGGUCGCAAGGCUGAAACUUAAAGGAAUUGGCGGGGAGCACCACAACAGGUGGAGCCUGCGGUUUAAUUGGACUCAACGCCGGGAAGCUCACCGGAUAGGACAGCAGAAUGAUUGCCGGGCUGAAGACUCUGCAUGACUAGCUG
RNAcentral lists this ribosomal RNA (264 nucleotides) under uncultured archaeon. RNAcentral's name for it is "partial 16S ribosomal RNA". It matches the Rfam family "Archaeal small subunit ribosomal RNA", at positions 717 to 982 of the family's 1478-position model. The record is from RNAcentral.